GACGAACGCUGGCGGCGUGCCUAAUACAUGCCAGUUGAGCGAUGAAGAUUGGUGCUUGCACCAAUUUGAAGAGCAGCGAACGGGUGAGUAACGCGUGGGGAAUCUGCCUUUGAGCGGGGGACAACAUUUGGAAACGAAUGCUAAUACCGCAUAACAACUUUAAACAUAAGUUUUAAGUUUGAAAGAUGCAAUUGCAUCACUCAAAGAUGAUCCCGCGUUGUAUUAGCUAGUUGGUGAGGUAAAGGCUCACCAAGGCGAUGAUACAUAGCCGACCUGAGAGGGUGAUCGGCCACAUUGGGACUGAGACACGGCCCAAACUCCUACGGGAGGCAGCAGUAGGGAAUCUUCGGCAAUGGACGAAAGUCUGACCGAGCAACGCCGCGUGAGUGAAGAAGGUUUUCGGAUCGUAAAACUCUGUUGGUAGAGAAGAACGUUGGUGAGAGUGGAAAGCUCAUCAAGUGACGGUAACUACACAGAAAGGGACGGCUAACUACGUG
RNAcentral lists this ribosomal RNA (497 nucleotides) under uncultured bacterium. RNAcentral describes it as "partial 16S ribosomal RNA". It matches the Rfam family "Bacterial small subunit ribosomal RNA", at positions 28 to 507 of the family's 1533-position model. The record is from RNAcentral.